UCAAAGGGACUCGGAUACAUAUGUAUACCCCUACUCCACGUGCCUUGUAUACUAUGAUGCAUGUUCGGACUCAUUGGCCGCGCUUGCAUGCGAUGAGGCUCUUUGCAUGGGCCAACGCGUGGACCGGAAGCCACAACACCGACAACUUGAUCUUCAAACCUCAGCCGGCCGUUCUCCGCGAACAAACAUUUACCGCUGCAGAGGAUUGAUGAUGUGAGUUUCUUGAAUAGUUAGGGGCUGCGCUGAUUCCGUCGACACUCUUCAUCCCUGCCUAUCCUAACGUAACUUUACCCAUAUAUGUGCGGUAUUUUUGUUAGCAUUUGUCUGACAGUGUAACACCCCCCCUCCCCCCCCAUUCGUUAUUUGUACGGUCAAUGAAGAGUCACGGCUAUGCAUCUCUCGACUACGAAAGGCUUCUUUUUGCAACGCACGGCCUUCGUGCUCUGUUUGCUCCUGUUUGCAACUUUCUCGAGCUGUCGAGAUGAUGCCCAAGCGCCCUUGCAGGCUGAGCCGCCCAAUCCCCUAUUUCCAUCGCCGGCUGCGGCUACAGCAAAGAGGGUUGCAGUGAUUGGUGCCGGGUCUGCUGGUACUUCGACAGCCUACUAUCUGCGACAGUUUACCAAUUUCUUCUCCAUCCCACUCAACAUCACCGUUUACGAGCGGGCCUCCUACGUUGGUGGUCGAUCUACCACCAUCAAUCUGUUCGACGAUCCUUCCCAUCCAAUUGAGCUUGGAGCAUCCAUCUUUGUCGAAGUGAACAAAAACCUUAUUGGAGCCUCGAAGAAAUUUGGCCUCAAAUUGAGAGAUGCAGACUUUGGACAGCCCAAGGAAUCCACUUACAGUUUGGGAGUCUGGGAUGGCAAAGAGUUCGCUUUUCUCCAAUCGCGAACAGACGCCUAUUGGUGGAACGUGUUCAAGCUGCUCUAUAGAUAUGGCUGGGCUCCUAUGAAGACACAGAAUCUCAUGAAGGAGACAGUCAACAAGUUUUUGAAGCUCUACAAGUUCCCCUAUUUUCCCUUUCAGUCCUUAUCCGACGUGGCUGUGAGCACCGGACUUGCUGAAGCAACCUGGACUUCUGGCGCGGAAUACUUGAAAGAUAAUGGUAUAGCAGAACUAUUUGCCAGGGAGAUUAUCCAGGCCAGUACACGAGUGAAUUAUGGCCAGAACCUGGGCUUGAUCCAUGGCCUCGAGACAAUGGUAUGCAUGGCGACUGAUGGAGCUGUCGCUGUGGAAGGGGGCAACUGGCAAAUUUUCCAGUCCAUGCUCAAUGCGUCGAAGGCAACAGUGAGAUUAAACUCGCCUGUAUCUAGCAUUAAGCUUUCGGACAAUAAUACAUACACCGUCAGCUAUCAGGACGCAGGCGUCGAUGGUGGUAAUAGCUUUUCUGUCGAGCAAGAAACAUUUGACCAUGUCGUCAUCGCGAACCCAUAUCAAUUCUCGAAUAUCUCUUUGUCUCCCCCACCAAAACGGCCGCUUCAUUCUCCGCGCUACGUUGACCUGCACGUCACCAUUUUUGCCUCCCCCUAUAAACUCUCACCGGAAUAUUUCAAAAUGACCA
This 1558-nucleotide small RNA is filed under the name Histoplasma capsulatum var. duboisii H88. RNAcentral's name for it is "Histoplasma capsulatum H88 hypothetical RNA". The record is from RNAcentral. Lineage: Eukaryota; Fungi; Ascomycota; Eurotiomycetes; Onygenales; Ajellomycetaceae.